UUCUUUAAGGUAAGGAGGUGAUCCAACCGCAGGUUCCCCUACGGUUACCUUGUUACGACUUCACCCCAGUCAUGAAUCACAAAGUGGUAAGCGCCCUCCCGAAGGUUAAGCUACCUACUUCUUUUGCAACCCACUCCCAUGGUGUGACGGGCGGUGUGUACAAGGCCCGGGAACGUAUUCACCGUGGCAUUCUGAUCCACGAUUACUAGCGAUUCCGACUUCAUGGAGUCGAGUUGCAGACUCCAAUCCGGACUACGACGCACUUUAUGAGGUCCGCUUGCUCUCGCGAGGUCGCUUCUCUUUGUAUGCGCCAUUGUAGCACGUGUGUAGCCCUGGUCGUAAGGGCCAUGAUGACUUGACGUCAUCCCCACCUUCCUCCAGUUUAUCACUGGCAGUCUCCUUUGAGUUCCCGGCCGGACCGCUGGCAACAAAGGAUAAGGGUUGCGCUCGUUGCGGGACUUAACCCAACAUUUCACAACACGAGCUGACGACAGCCAUGCAGCACCUGUCUCACGGUUCCCGAAGGCACAUUCUCAUCUCUGAAAACUUCCGUGGAUGUCAAGACCAGGUAAGGUUCUUCGCGUUGCAUCGAAUUAAACCACAUGCUCCACCGCUUGUGCGGGCCCCCGUCAAUUCAUUUGAGUUUUAACCUUGCGGCCGUACUCCCCAGGCGGUCUACUUAACGCGUUAGCUCCGGAAGCCACGCCUCAAGGGCACAACCUCCAAGUAGACAUCGUUUACGGCGUGGACUACCAGGGUAUCUAAUCCUGUUUGCUCCCCACGCUUUCGCACCUGAGCGUCAGUCUUUGUCCAGGGGGCCGCCUUCGCCACCGGUAUUCCUCCAGAUCUCUACGCAUUUCNNNNNNNNNNNNNNNNNNNNCCCCCCUCUACAAGACUCAAGCCUGCCAGUUUCGAAUGCAGUUCCCAGGUUGAGCCCGGGGAUUUCACAUCCGACUUGACAGACCGCCUGCGUGCGCUUUACGCCCAGUAAUUCCGAUUAACGCUUGCACCCUCCGUAUUACCGCGGCUGCUGGCACGGAGUUAGCCGGUGCUUCUUCUGCGGGUAACGUCAAUUGCUGCGGUUAUUAACCACAACACCUUCCUCCCCGCUGAAAGUACUUUACAACCCGAAGGCCUUCUUCAUACACGCGGCAUGGCUGCAUCAGGCUUGCGCCCAUUGUGCAAUAUUCCCCACUGCUGCCUCCCGUAGGAGUCUGGACCGUGUCUCAGUUCCAGUGUGGCUGGUCAUCCUCUCAGACCAGCUAGGGAUCGUCGCCUUGGUGAGCCGUUACCUCACCAACAAGCUAAUCCCAUCUGGGCACAUCUGAUGGCAAGAGGCCCGAAGGUCCCCCUCUUUGGUCUUGCGACGUUAUGCGGUAUUAGCCACCGUUUCCAGUAGUUAUCCCCCUCCAUCAGGCAGUUUCCCAGACAUUACUCNNNNNNNNNNNNNNNNNNNNAAAGCAGCAAGCUGCUUCCUGUUACCGUUCGACUUGCAUGUGUUAGGCCUGCCGCCAGCGUUCAAUCUGAGCCAUGAUCAAACUCUUCAAUUUAAAAGUUUGAUGCUCAAUGAAUUAAACUUCGUAAUGAAUUACGUGUU
This 1597-nucleotide ribosomal RNA is filed under the name Salmonella enterica subsp. enterica serovar Paratyphi A. Its description in RNAcentral is "16S ribosomal RNA". The record is from RNAcentral. Lineage: Bacteria; Pseudomonadati; Pseudomonadota; Gammaproteobacteria; Enterobacterales; Enterobacteriaceae.